UCCAGGAUGGCCGAGUGGUUAUGGCAUCAGACUCAAAAUUUGAUUCCGGUUGAAGUCGGAGCGCAGGUUCGAAUCCUGCUCCUGGAC
Molecule: transfer RNA, 87 nt
Filed under: Caerostris extrusa
Lineage: Eukaryota; Metazoa; Arthropoda; Arachnida; Araneae; Araneidae
Description: tRNA-Leu
Rfam family: tRNA
About the family: Transfer RNA (tRNA) molecules are approximately 80 nucleotides in length. Their secondary structure includes four short double-helical elements and three loops (D, anti-codon, and T loops).
Source: RNAcentral